Long non-coding RNA from Notolabrus celidotus (New Zealand spotty), 627 nucleotides. RefSeq lists it as uncharacterized. NCBI's taxonomy places the organism in Eukaryota, Metazoa, Chordata, Actinopteri, Labriformes, Labridae. The record is from RefSeq and is a predicted model, not a curated record. The transcript has 2 exons.
AGUGGGAACAUGCUAGAGAUAAUGAAGGGAGGAAAAGUGAUAACAUGGUGUUGAUUAACUUUGUAUAUUUAGACUGUUUUCAUACAUUUCAUUGCUUUGCCACUAUUGUCUGUUCUCCUGUUGCACACAUAUAGCUCAAUUAAGGAACAUGCAGACGGUGUGUGUCGAUCAGUCAAGCAGAGUGUGUGUAACUAGAUACAGUACAGGGAACGAGUGAGGUAAUGAGACAUCCAAACAGAGCUAUGAAGCAAGGAGAUGGUCUGAUACUCGAGUUGAGAGAAAGAAACAGACGGAGAGAUGAACCGAUGAGCUCCGAACACCGAGAAGUAAACAAGCCAAGGCUGUACUCUGUCUCUACCUGUGUGACCCCGUGACAAUGUGACUAAUGGCCCAGAAACAUACAAGGACCAGGGGAAGGGACCAGUGAUGGAGGCGCAGAACAACUCAGGUGGACAGUGCGCUCUGUGGAAGACUAGAGCAGCUCCCGGAGAAAACAGAGAGGGAGAUGUAAGGAGAGGCAAGAUGUUGAGUCGGAGAAAAGAGGAGGGGAGAAAGAAAGAUGAGAAAACAUCUGGAGUCCAGGAUUGAGGAGAAUACAAUGGAGUAUAAAAAGAACAUAUUUUUGGA